CUUUGCGUGACCUAGUCAAUAACGUGUCUGGCUUGCAACCAAAGGGUUGCGGGUUCGAAUCCCGCCUUAAAUU
This 73-nucleotide transfer RNA is filed under the name Ixodes scapularis (black-legged tick). It matches the Rfam family "tRNA". From Rfam's summary of the family: Transfer RNA (tRNA) molecules are approximately 80 nucleotides in length. Their secondary structure includes four short double-helical elements and three loops (D, anti-codon, and T loops). Lineage: Eukaryota; Metazoa; Arthropoda; Arachnida; Ixodida; Ixodidae. The record is from Rfam by way of RNAcentral.